This 68-nucleotide transfer RNA is filed under the name mouse gut metagenome. It matches the Rfam family "tRNA". From Rfam's summary of the family: Transfer RNA (tRNA) molecules are approximately 80 nucleotides in length. Their secondary structure includes four short double-helical elements and three loops (D, anti-codon, and T loops). The record is from RNAcentral. RNAcentral also lists the same sequence under 1 other name.
CAGAUAUGGUUCAUCGGUAGAACAUUGGCUUCCCAAGCCGAAGAGACGGGUUCGACUCCCGCUAUCUG